RNAcentral lists this ribosomal RNA (324 nucleotides) under uncultured bacterium. Its description in RNAcentral is "bacterial SSU rRNA". It matches the Rfam family "Bacterial small subunit ribosomal RNA", at positions 28 to 334 of the family's 1533-position model. The record is from RNAcentral.
GACGAACGCUGGCGGCGUGCUUAACACAUGCAAGUCGAACGGAGCACCCCUGAAGGAGUUUUCGGACAACGGAUGGGAAUGCUUAGUGGCGGACUGGUGAGUAACGCGUGAGGAACCUGCCUUCCAGAGGGGGACAACAGUUGGAAACGACUGCUAAUACCGCAUGAUGCGUUGGAGCCGCAUGACUCCGACGCCAAAGAUUUAUCGCUGGAAGAUGGCCUCGCGUCUGAUUAGCUGGUUGGUGAGGUAACGGCCCACCAAGGCGACGAUCAGUAGCCGGACUGAGAGGUUGGCCGGCCACAUUGGGACUGAGAUACGGCCCAG